ACCAAUGUCUUACCAGACAAGGUUAGAUCUAGUUACUCUCGUCUAAUACUGUCUGGUAAUGCCGUUGGU
Xenopus tropicalis (tropical clawed frog) is the source of this 69-nucleotide non-coding RNA. The record is from Rfam. Lineage: Eukaryota; Metazoa; Chordata; Amphibia; Anura; Pipidae.